RNAcentral lists this long non-coding RNA (415 nucleotides) under Callithrix jacchus (white-tufted-ear marmoset). Its description in RNAcentral is "lncRNA (ENSCJAG00000072271.1)". Lineage: Eukaryota; Metazoa; Chordata; Mammalia; Primates; Cebidae. The record is from RNAcentral.
AUGCUGGAAGUGAUGAAAUGUAACCAGCCUGCCACUAGGGACAUGGAUGAAGCUGAAACCAUCAAUCUCAGCAAACUGAUGCAAGAACAGAAAACCGAAUACUGCAUGUUCUCACUCUUAAGUGGGAGUUGAAUAAUGAGAACACAUGGACACAGGGAGGGGAACAUCACACACUGAUGUCUGUUGUGGGGUGGGGAAGCCAGGGGAGGGAUAACGGGGGUGGGGGGAGUGGGGAGGGAUAACAUUAGGAGAAAUACCUAAUGUGGAUGAGGGGGGAUGAAUGCAGCAAACCACCAUGGCCUGUGUAUAUUUAGGUUACAAACCUGCAUGUUCUGCACAUGUACCCCAGAACUUAAAGUAUAAUAAAAAAGGAAAUAAUUUGUCCAUAUAUAUUGUACAAUAAAAAAAGAAGCCU